UUAUUAUUUUUAAUAGUUAUUAAUUUAAUAUGUUCAGAUCAGUUGAAGGUCAAUAUAUGAUCAAUGUUCUAAUCAGAGAUACUUAGCAGAGUAAACGGACCAAACAUAAAAACAUAUUUAUGAUUUCUGAAUCAGCAGCUGAAUACAUGUCGGUUUCCAUGGCAACGCGAUGCGUCCAGUGUGUGAUGCUGUGAUGGAUUCAUUCAGUGGUUUUAGUCAUGUUCAGAUCAGCAGGUUGGAGGUGAAGCAUCAGUUACCAUGGAGAUCUAGCUCCUCAGCAUCUGUAACCAUGGAGAUCUAGCUGUGCAGCAUCAGUUACCAUCCAGAUCUACAUCCACAGCAUCAGUUACCAUGGAGAUCUAGCUCUGCAGCAUCAGUUACCAUGGAGAGCUAGCUGUGCAGCAUCAGUUACCAUGGAGAUCUACAUCCACAGCAUCAGUUACCAUGGAGAUCUAGCUGCGCAGCAUCAGUUACCAUGGAGAUCUAGCUCCUCAGCAUCAGGUACCAUGGAGAUCUAGCUGUGCAGCAUCAGUUACCAUGGAGAUCUAGCUCCUCAGCAUCAGUUACCAUGGAGAUCUAGCUCCACUGCUGUCUUAUCUUGGUGUAAAUAUUCAGCUGCAGAACUGAUGUAUUUUGCUCGUGUGACUCUUUGAACAUGUUUUAUUUCAUCAUGUCUCCCUGUCUGUCUGUCUGUCCAUUUGUCUGUCUGUCCAUCCGUCCAUCUGUCUGUCUGACUGUCCGUCCAUCCAUCUGUCUGUCUGUCUCCCUGUCUGUCUGUCCGUCCGUCCGUCUGUCUGUCUGUCUGUCCAUCUGUCUGUCCGUCCGUCUGUCUGUCUGUCUCUCUGCAGGACAUCUUGGUCCUGCUCCUGGACUCUUCCGGACACCAAAAUCCGACGGAAUCAAUCAGCUCGUAUUAUCCUGACAGCAGAAUCAUCAUCUAACAGAUAAAUAUUCCUGAACCAAAAGAGUAAAUCAACUGUCCGACCAUCUACAUUAAAGGACUGACGCUGCUCCCCCCUCCAGCCCGACAUGCUCAGGUCCUGCAGGCUUCCUUCAGAUCCAGAACCAGAACCAGGACCAGAACCGGGCCUGAUCAUUCAUCACCCCCCCACGGCCUUAACUGAGCGGGGGGGAGGAGCUGCAGGAGCUGCUGUGACUCUUUAACCAGCCGAGACGAGACUCCCCCCAUUUCAGAAUGGUUCAGUCCAACAAGGACCAGAGGGGGGAGGGGGUGUACAGUCUGAGCAUGCUCAGUCCGGACUGCUGGAGAGGAAGUGUAGUUUACUCCUGUGUAACGUGUGUGUAACGUGUGUGUGAUGUGUGUGUGUGUGUGUGUGUGUGUGUGUGUGUGUGUGUGUGUGCGUGUGUGCGUGUGUGGAUGUGUGUGAUGUGUGUGAUGUGUGUGUUUGUGUGAUGUGUGUGAUGUGUGUGAUGUGUGUGUGUGUGUGUGUGUGUGUGUGUGUGUGUGUGUGUGUGUGUGUGUGUACGGUGUAGGUCCAUGUCUCUGUGUGCGUCUGCCGGUUGUUCCCUUUACGUUGCUGAUGUUUACAGCUGCAGAAGCCACAUACUGUAAAUUUUUCACCGUGUUUUUUUGCGUUUCACCUGCCAGGUUUUUCAUGUGUGUGUGUGAUGUCUGUGCAUGUGCGGUGGGUCGGUGGGUUCCCCCCACGUUGUGUCUGACUCGGGCAGGUCCGCUGACUCCCAGCGUGGAGGCGCUCCACGGGGCUUAUUUAUUCAUUUGUUCAUAUUUAACAAUAUUUGUUUGAUCUUGCGGUCAUGUGAGCUGUUACUCACUCUUCAGAAUGCCAAGAGCUGAUGUGUGACGACUACUACCAAUCAACAUACCAACAAACUGCAUUUACAAAAGCUACUGUAAACUAAUGGUGGAAUAAAUUGUGCUAGAUGAAGAAGACUCCUGCUCUCCUUGUUCUUCUCCUGCUGCUGCAACGACUUCACAACCGUCACAACCGUUUUAGUUCAACAACAACAAACUCAGUCAGAACUGGAGACAAAAAGGGGCAAAGCGAACAUAAAGAGACACAACCAGACACAAAAUGACCAAAAACAGACAGAAAACAACCAAAAAGAGACACAAAAUGACGAUAAAGAGACAAAAAGAGACACAAAAUAACAAUAGAGACACAAAGCAACCACAAAAAGAGACAAAGCUACCACAGACAGAUGCAAACACACAAAAUGACAAAAAACAGACACAAAAAAGAGAAAGAAAGAAAGAAAAAGAAAACACCAGCCAUCCAAUAAGGAAGCAAACUGAACCUAAAUAGAAGCUGACGGACUAGAAAGAGAUGCUAACCGGUCACAAACAGACAGAAAAUGAACAAAAAGAGACACAAAAUGACAGCAAAGAGACACAAAAUGAUAAAGAGACAAAAACAACCACAAAGAGACGCAAAACGGCCACAAAGUGAAACAAAACAACCACAGAGACACAAAAUGA
Long non-coding RNA from Amphiprion ocellaris (clown anemonefish), 2458 nucleotides. Lineage: Eukaryota; Metazoa; Chordata; Actinopteri; Pomacentridae. The record is from Ensembl.